This 74-nucleotide transfer RNA is filed under the name Nocardiopsis sp. NRRL B-16309. RNAcentral's name for it is "tRNA-Gly". It matches the Rfam family "tRNA". Rfam says of the family: Transfer RNA (tRNA) molecules are approximately 80 nucleotides in length. Their secondary structure includes four short double-helical elements and three loops (D, anti-codon, and T loops). Further hydrogen bonds mediate the characteristic L-shaped molecular structure. tRNAs have two regions of fundamental functional importance: the anti-codon, which is responsible for specific mRNA codon recognition, and the 3' end, to which the tRNAs corresponding amino acid is attached (by aminoacyl-tRNA synthetases). tRNAs cope with the degeneracy of the genetic code in two manners: having more than one tRNA (with a specific anti-codon) for a particular amino acid; and 'wobble' base-pairing, i.e. permitting non-standard base-pairing at the 3rd anti-codon position. The record is from RNAcentral. Lineage: Bacteria; Bacillati; Actinomycetota; Actinomycetes; Streptosporangiales; Nocardiopsidaceae. RNAcentral also lists the same sequence under 2 other names.
GCGGAUGUAGUUCAAUGGUAGAACUUCAGCUUCCCAAGCUGAUAACGCGGGUUCGAUUCCCGUCAUCCGCUCCG